Molecule: ribosomal RNA, 464 nt
Filed under: Vreelandella stevensii
Lineage: Bacteria; Pseudomonadati; Pseudomonadota; Gammaproteobacteria; Oceanospirillales; Halomonadaceae
Description: partial 16S ribosomal RNA
Rfam family: Bacterial small subunit ribosomal RNA
Source: RNAcentral
CUACGGGCGGCAGCAGUGGGGAAUAUUGGACAAUGGGCGAAAGCCUGAUCCAGCCAUGCCGCGUGUGUGAAGAAGGCCUUCGGGUUGUAAAGCACUUUCAGUGGGGAAGAAAGCCUUGGGGCUAAUACCCUCGAGGAAGGACAUCACCCACAGAAGAAGCACCGGCUAACUCCGUGCCAGCAGCCGCGGUAAUACGGAGGGUGCGAGCGUUAAUCGGAAUUACUGGGCGUAAAGCGCGCGUAGGCGGUCUGAUAAGCCGGUUGUGAAAGCCCCGGGCUCAACCUGGGAACGGCAUCCGGAACUGUCAGGCUAGAGUGCAGGAGAGGAAGGUAGAAUUCCCGGUGUAGCGGUGAAAUGCGUAGAGAUCGGGAGGAAUACCAGUGGCGAAGGCGGCCUUCUGGACUGACACUGACGCUGAGGUGCGAAAGCGUGGGUAGCAAACAGGAUUAGAUACCCUUGUAGUC